GGAGAGGUGGCUGAGUGGCUGAAAGCGGCACCCUGCUAAGGUGUUAUACCGGUAACGGUAUCGGGGGUUCGAAUCCCCCUCUCUCCG
RNAcentral lists this transfer RNA (87 nucleotides) under Bacteroidota bacterium. RNAcentral describes it as "tRNA-Ser". It matches the Rfam family "tRNA". From Rfam's summary of the family: Transfer RNA (tRNA) molecules are approximately 80 nucleotides in length. RNAcentral also lists the same sequence under 2 other names. The record is from RNAcentral. Lineage: Bacteria; Pseudomonadati; Bacteroidota.